Molecule: long non-coding RNA, 665 nt
Filed under: Setaria italica (foxtail millet)
Lineage: Eukaryota; Viridiplantae; Streptophyta; Magnoliopsida; Poales; Poaceae
Description: long non-coding RNA (SITA_LNC002845)
Source: RNAcentral
UUGGGUUCUGGGAUUUGUCCUUAGGAUCCAAGAGUUUGGUGGAUUGCAUCGCACGAAUGUUUCUUAAACCCUUCUCGUGCCAUAUCCGGUCCACCAGGUAUCAAGUUAUCCAUAUCUCUUCGCCAGAGGUAAUCCAGCUCCAACCAGUAAAAAGAGAAUUUCUUGACACAUUCUCCGCCAUCAAUCAAACUGAUGGACAUUGUUAUGACUCUCUCGGUAUUGAUCGCACCUCUGAAUUCGACGACGGCGACUACAAAAAUUCCUCUCCGAUGACUACAAAAUUGUUCUACAGCCGCAAAUUUUUCCUCAAGACGCAUUGCAAAAUUCCUCUCCGAUGACUACAAAAUUGUUCCUACAGCCGCAAAUUUUUCCUCAAGACGCAUUGCAAGUCCUGCUUGCAAGCGGGCAAGACAGAGAUUCCUAAGUCUCAAUGCACCAUCCUAGGCAAGCUCAUCCGCAUCCCGCGCAGCGACGCCGCGCGGAUCGCGCCCUCGAAGCACGCCACGGCCGGGACCGGGGACGCCGCUGGCGCCCGCGCGGCGGCCUCCUCGCCCGCCGCCGGCGCGGGCGGCUGCUUGCUGGCUUCCUGCCCGGCCACCAACGGAUGCGACCACCGCCGCUGCUGCUGCGCCGGCGGCGCCGCGCCACCGUCGCGCUCGCCGUCA